Molecule: non-coding RNA, 600 nt
Organism: Xyrichtys novacula (pearly razorfish)
Lineage: Eukaryota; Metazoa; Chordata; Actinopteri; Labriformes; Labridae
Source: the annotation of a GenBank genome assembly
UCUUCUUAAAGCCAGUUAAGAGAGGAAGAACAGCUUAGACACUCAGACAGCUGAACACACCAAAGGUGGACAUCAUGCAGCCACCCUGAGCCUUGACCCUCUCUGUGUGAGGAAGCUUUGCUGCUGCAGACCUGGUGAAGUUGCUCUGCUGCAGUGCUGAAGGUAUUCAUUGUAAUGAUGUGUGUAUUUAUUCAACAUGUUUAGUUUCACAGAUUAUCAACACAAAUGUUUCUGUUUAUUUCCUGUUUUGAACCAGCUACAUUCUCCUACUUCAAGUCACUGUCUGUUCAUCCACGGUGUAGCAAGUGCAGCUAACUAAUGGUGAUCCUACAAUCAAUUGUAUUGAUUACAGAGUUAAAGUGAAGGGGAUUUUGUUUGUUUUUUUCAGACCUCUCCUCCUCCUGCCCCUGACUCCAGUGAUGCUGUCAACUCGAACACUGAUAACUGCACACAGUGAUUCUACAACCACAGGUCAAAGGUCAAAACAUUACCUCACUCAAAACCUUUACUCUGAACUGUACCGGGCUCGGCUUUUGGUUUUGAAAAAAUGUGCCCAGACAGAACACAGUACUCACUUGAGGAACUGACUGAUUGUCUUCA